RNAcentral lists this ribosomal RNA (1525 nucleotides) under metagenome. Its description in RNAcentral is "bacterial SSU rRNA". It matches the Rfam family "Bacterial small subunit ribosomal RNA". The record is from RNAcentral.
AGAGUUUGAUUCUGGCUCAGAACGAACGCUGGCAGCGUGGAUUAGGCAUGCAAGUCGAACGUGAAUCCGGUGAUCAAUCUUUCGGGAAAGUGAUCCGGUGGAAAGUGGCGGAAGGGUGAGUAACGCGUGGGUAAUCUGCCUCCGAGUUGGGGAUAACCAUUCGAAAGGAUGGCUAAUACCGAAUACGGUGGCGUCGUGCGAACGACAUUGACUAAAGGUGGGGAUCCUUCGGGACCUGCCGCUUGGAGAGGGGCCCGCGUCCGAUCAGCUUGUUGGUGAGGUAAUGGCUCACCAAGGCUACGACCGGUAGCUGGUCUGAGAGGAUGGUCAGCCACACUGGGACUGAGACACUGCCCAGACUCCUACGGGAGGCUGCAGUCGAGGAUCAUUGGCAAUGCGCGAAAGCGUGACCAUGCGACGCUGCGUGGGGGAUGAAGGCCUUCGGGUUGUAAACCCCUGUCAUCAGGGAAAAAUCACCCGGCCGUGAAUAUCGGUUGUUUUGAUGGUACCUGAAGAGGAAGCCACGGCUAACUCUGUGCCAGCAGCCGCGGUAAUACAGAGGUGGCGAGCGUUGUUCGGAUUUACUGGGCGUAAAGGGUGCGUAGGUGGCACCGUGUGUCGGAUGUGAAAUCCCGUUGCUCAACGGCGGAACUGCAUUCGAAACUGCGGAGCUAGAGUACAGGAGGGGAGAGCGGAAUUCUUGGUGUAGCGGUGAAAUGUGUUGAUAUCAAGAAGAACACCGGUGGCGAAGGCGGCUCUCUAGAAUGUUACUGACACUGAGGCACGAAAGCUGGGGGAGCAAACAGGAUUAGAUACCCUGGUAGUCCCAGCCGUAAACGGUGUGCACUUGGUGUUGGCGGUAUUGAUCCCGCCAGUGCCGGAGCUAACGCGUUAAGUGCACCGCCUGGGGAGUACGGCCGCAAGGCUAAAACUCAAAGAAAUUGACGGGGGCCCGCACAAGCGGAGGAGCAUGUGGCUUAAUUCGAUGCAACGCGAAGAACCUUACCAGGGCUUGACAUGUAACUGCUGUCCCCCUGAAAGGGGGGAGUCCUUCGAGGGUGUUACACAGGUGCUGCAUGGCUGUCGUCAGUUCGUGCCGUGAGGUGUUGGGUUAAGUCCCGCAACGAACGCAACCCCUAUGGUUAGUUGCCCCCAUCGGUGAUGAGCCGAUGAGCACUCUAGCCAGACUGCCCGUACAAGCGGGAGGAAGGUGGGGACGACGUCAAGUCAGUAUGGCCCUUACGCCCUGGGCUGCACACGUGCUACAAUGGUCGGUACAAUGGGAAGCAAUACCGCGAGGUGGAGCAAAUCCCCAAAGCCGGCCCCAGUUCGGAUUGGAGUCUGCAACUCGACUCCAUGAAGUCGGAUUCGCUAGUAACGGCGCAUCAGCUACGGCGCCGUGAAUACGUUCCCGGGCCUUGUACACACCGCCCGUCACAUCAUGAAAGCCGUCCGCACCCGAAGUCGCUGGGCCAACCCGCAAGGGAGGCAGGUGCCGAAGGUGUGGGUGGUGAUUGGGAUGAAG